RNAcentral lists this ribosomal RNA (1467 nucleotides) under human gut metagenome. Its description in RNAcentral is "bacterial SSU rRNA". It matches the Rfam family "Bacterial small subunit ribosomal RNA". The record is from RNAcentral.
CUAGCGGCAGGCUUAACACAUGCAAGUCGAGGGGCAGCGCGGGAUAGCAAUAUCCUGGCGGCGACCGGCGGAAGGGUGCGUAACGCGUGAGCGACAUGCCCGUUGCCCGGGGACAACCGGUGGAAACGCCGACUAAUCCCCGAUGGGAUACGAUGCUUCAUGGCAUUGUAUUGAAAGUUACGGCGGCGACGGAUUGGCUCGCGUCCGAUUAGCUUGUUGGCGGGGUAACGGCCCACCAAGGCUGCGAUCGGUAGGGGUUCUGAGAGGAAGGCCCCCCACAAUGGGACUGAGACACGGCCCAUACUCCUACGGGAGGCAGCAGUGAGGAAUAUUGGUCAAUGGGCGGAAGCCUGAACCAGCCAUGCCGCGUGCGGGAAGGAGGCCCUAUGGGCUGUGAACCGCUUUUGCCUGGGGGCAAUAAGGGCGUCGCGCACGUCCGAUGAGAGUACCAGGCGAAUAAGCAUCGGCUAACUCCGUGCCAGCAGCCGCGGUAAUACGGGGGAUGCGAGCGUUAUCCGGAUUCAUUGGGUUUAAAGGGUGCGUAGGCUGUGCGUCAAGUCGGGGGUGAAAUUCCGGUGCUCAACACCGGGGCUGCCCUUGAUACUGUCGCGCUGGAGUGCGGAUGCCGCCGGAGGAAUGAGUGGUGUAGCGGUGAAAUGCUUAGAUAUCACUCAGAACACCGAUUGCGAAGGCAUCUGGCGAAUCCGUAACUGACGCUGAGGCACGAAAGCGUGGGGAUAGAACAGGAUUAGAUACCCUGGUAUUCCACGCCGUAAACGAUGAUGGCUAACCGCCGGCGACACACUGUCGGUGGCCAAGCGAAAGCGAUAAGCCAUCCACCUGGGGAGUACGUCGGCAACGAUGAAACUCAAAGGAAUUGACGGGGGCCCGCACAAGCGGAGGAACAUGUGGUUUAAUUCGAUGAUACGCGAGGAACCUUACCUGGGUUUAAAUGGGAAAUGUCGUAUUUGGAAACAGAUAUUCUCUUCGGAGCGUUUUUCAAGGUGCUGCAUGGUUGUCGUCAGCUCGUGCCGUGAGGUGUCGGCUCAAGUGCCAUAACGAGCGCAACCCUUGCCGCCAGUUGCCAUCAGGUGAUGCUGGGCACUCUGGCGGGACUGCCACCGCAAGGUGUGAGGAGGGGGGGGAUGACGUCAAAUCAGCACGGCCCUUACGUCCGGGGCGACACACGUGUUACAAUGGCGGCCACAGAGGGAAGCUACCCCGCGAGGGGAUGCGGAUCUCGAAAAGCCGUCCCAGUUCGGACUGGAGUCUGCAACCCGACUCCACGAAGUUGGAUUCGCUAGUAAUCGCGCAUCAGCCAUGGCGCGGUGAAUACGUUCCCGGGCCUUGUACACACCGCCCGUCAAGCCAUGGAAGCCGCGGGCGCCUGAAGUCCGUGACCGGAAGGAGCGGCCUAGGGCGAAAGUGGUAACUGGGGCUAAGUCGUAACAAGGUAGCCGUACCGGA